ACCUCAGAUGUGCUACACAGUGUAUUACCUGUUUCUACCUCGCAGAUGUGCUACACAGUUGCUUAUGACUGCCUAUAAAAUGGCCGGGAUCGGUGAGGCUGCUGGAACCAAGGAGAGAGAGCAUAUAUAUCCACCGAUCAUGAUGAAGGGUGGCAGCAAGAAGGAAGUGGCCGGUGCGGCGGCGGUGGUGGCCAUACUGCUGGUUCUGCAGCUGAUGGCAGCUCCACCGACGGCCAUGGCCGCCCGCUCGCCGCGCGGAGCCGUGCCGGAUGGCUCCCUCGCCACGACGCCCAAGGUGACGAUGCUGUCAGCCACGCUGUGCUACACGGGGGAGACAUGCAAAUACAUUACCUGCCUCACUCCUGCUUGCUCCUGUAACUAUGAUGAUCGUCGCUGCUACAUCAUAUUUACUCCUGCUGCUGCUUGAGGCCAUUCUGUGUACGUGAAUGAAGCCACUACUACUCUCACACAGCAUGCGCCGGCCGACGACGUGCGUACGUAUAUAUAUACGCUCUACCUCGUGAGCUUUUGUUCGAGUGAUACGUGUUUCAAGGCAUCCAUCCAUCCAUGGAUGCUUAUGUACGUAUAUGUGUUAGUCGUGUGUCAGGCAACCGGGCAGCAGAAGGGGGUGUUGUAUUAUAUAUAUUUACGUCUUCUGGUGAUUAAAUAAUAAAGGGGGGCAUGUUGGAUGUGUGCAAGGCAUAUCUGUAGAGCAAUUUUAUUGCUCGCACUGCCAUAAUGGCAAAAAUCCAAAAAUCUUAUGCCUGGAUUUUAUUCAAACGAAAAAAGCAACACCAAAAUUGUUAGCAAGCAAGAUGCUGAUCAAUAUAUGAAGGAUUUGACC
Molecule: unclassified non-coding RNA, 844 nt
Filed under: Zea mays
Lineage: Eukaryota; Viridiplantae; Streptophyta; Magnoliopsida; Poales; Poaceae
Description: misc RNA Zm00001eb299460
Source: RNAcentral